UCCCUGGUUGUUCAGUGGCUAGGACUUAACACUUUUACUGCUGCAGCCCAGGUUCAAUCCCUGGUAGGGGAC
This 72-nucleotide transfer RNA is filed under the name Bos taurus (domestic cattle). It matches the Rfam family "tRNA". From Rfam's summary of the family: Transfer RNA (tRNA) molecules are approximately 80 nucleotides in length. Their secondary structure includes four short double-helical elements and three loops (D, anti-codon, and T loops). Lineage: Eukaryota; Metazoa; Chordata; Mammalia; Artiodactyla; Bovidae. The record is from Rfam by way of RNAcentral. RNAcentral also lists the same sequence under 4 other names.